This 253-nucleotide ribosomal RNA is filed under the name uncultured bacterium. RNAcentral describes it as "partial 16S ribosomal RNA". It matches the Rfam family "Bacterial small subunit ribosomal RNA", at positions 524 to 776 of the family's 1533-position model. The record is from RNAcentral.
UACAGAGGUCUCAAGUGUUGUUCGGAUUCAUUGGGCGUAAAGGGUGCGUAGGUGGCGCGCUAAGUCAGGUGUGAAAUUUCGGAGCUUAACUCCGAAACUGCAUUUGAUACUGGCGUGCUUGAGGACUGGAGAGGAGACUGGAAUUCAUGGUGUAGCAGUGAAAUGCGUAGAGAUCAUGAGGAAGACCAGUGGCGAAGGCGGGUCUCUGGACAGUUCCUGACACUGAGGCACGAAGGCCAGGGGAGCAAACGGG